This is a long non-coding RNA of Apodemus sylvaticus (European woodmouse), 1115 nucleotides long. RefSeq lists it as uncharacterized. The record is from RefSeq and is a predicted model, not a curated record. Lineage: Eukaryota; Metazoa; Chordata; Mammalia; Rodentia; Muridae. The transcript has 4 exons.
AGAGCUAGAGUGUUCAAGCAACCCUGCCAGGCUGAAAACCGUUUCUGAGGUGAUAGAAGUAUUCUAUGGUGUAGACGGAAGAUGCCCUGCCUUUAUCUCCUGGAGGGGGAAAAAAAAAACUUUUGCCAGGAAAUGAGGGAUUUUCAAACCCCUACAACAACUGGAAGAGAAAUGUGGUGAUUUUGCCAGUGAGCACAAGGAACUCGGCCUGCUGUCAAAAGGCUCUCUGUCCAACUCGGGCUGCAUUCACGGAAACAAAAAUCUUCCUCUUCAGCCACCUAAGUGCCUGUUGAAUUAGGCACACAGCCAAGGAAAUAAGAGACUAUGGCAUGAUGAGGCCUAAAUGAAAGAUACAUAUCACAGCCCUCCUUCCAGGGCCUAGGCAUCUUGCCAGAAGACAGGGAGGAACGAUUGCAAGAACCAGAGAUGGCAGAUCACAUCAAGAUGUUUCGGCAACAUUUCCUACGGCUGCAGCAGCGGUAACGUGUUCUACCGAAGAUCAAACAAUCUCUCAGGAUCUGGCAAGAUUUAACAGAAAUUUAAAACAAUACUUUCCAGAGAAAACGGAAUGGAGCAACGUUCUCUAAAUAAACUGAAUUGAAGUCAAGAAGAGAAUUACUGCUGCAAGAAGCUGAGAUUCCAUAAGGCUCACCUAUCCACUGGUCAAGCACCUGGUCAAUGUAGAGAGAGGAAGCUAGUCUGGGUCACUGUGUGAAUCUUCAUGCAUCUCUGCUUCAUUCAACAGCUAGCUCUUAGCAUCAAGGUAAGAUCUGAUUAAGACCAGAUUUAGGUCUCUGAGUUGACCCACCUCCAAAAUCUCUCAUCUCUGUUCCAAAUGAGAAAGCAUCAGUCCUGCUGUUCCAAACUUGUAGGAUCUCCAAAGCACACUGCAACAAUGGGAUAACUAUGAGGAUCCAAUAAGUACGGUGUCACAGAAGCUAGAGAUUUUGAACCAGACCAAAGACUCAUUGCAGUGAACAUUUGCAAGUGAAGAUGUGUGGACAGAGGGAUAGACUGUCGGACACACUGUGACAGACUACAGCUUCCAUGAUGAAAUGUUUUCCUGUGCUUUUCCUGUGUUUUGUUGUUGUUGGUGGUGGUGCUGGUGGUGGUGC